This 25-nucleotide microRNA is filed under the name Monodelphis domestica (gray short-tailed opossum). RNAcentral describes it as "mdo-miR-7398c-5p". The record is from miRBase by way of RNAcentral. Lineage: Eukaryota; Metazoa; Chordata; Mammalia; Didelphimorphia; Didelphidae.
UGUGUAGAGGCAGGGAAAUAUGCUG